Molecule: ribosomal RNA, 756 nt
Filed under: uncultured bacterium
Lineage: Bacteria
Description: bacterial SSU rRNA
Rfam family: Bacterial small subunit ribosomal RNA
Source: RNAcentral
CCUGCCCAUCACUUGGGGAUAACCUUGCGAAAGUAAGACUAAUACCCAAUGACGUCUCUAGAAGACAUCUGAAGGAGAUUAAAGAUUUAUCGGUGAUGGAUGGGGAUGCGUCUGAUUAGCUUGUUGGCGGGGUAACGGCCCACCAAGGCGACGAUCAGUAGGGGUUCUGAGAGGAAGGUCCCCCACAUUGGAACUGAGACACGGUCCAAACUCCUACGGGAGGCAGCAGUGAGGAAUAUUGGUCAAUGGACGAGAGUCUGAACCAGCCAAGUAGCGUGCAGGAUGACGGCCCUAUGGGUUGUAAACUGCUUUUAUAAGGGAAUAAAGUGAGUCUCGUGAGACUUUUUGCAUGUACCUUAUGAAUAAGGACCGGCUAAUUCCGUGCCAGCAGCCGCGGUAAUACGGAAGGUCCGGGCGUUAUCCGGAUUUAUUGGGUUUAAAGGGAGCGUAGGCCGGAGAUUAAGCGUGUUGUGAAAUGUAGACGCUCAACGUCUGCACUGCAGCGCGAACUGGUUUCCUUGAGUACGCACAAAGUGGGCGGAAUUCGUGGUGUAGCGGUGAAAUGCUUAGAUAUCACGAAGAACUCCGAUUGCGAAGGCAGCUCACUGGAGCGCAACUGACGCUGAAGCUCGAAAGUGCGGGUAUCGAACAGGAUUAGAUACCCUGGUAGUCCGCACGGUAAACGAUGGAUGCCCGCUGUUGGCCUGAACAGGUCAGCGGCCAAGCGAAAGCAUUAAGCAUCCCACCUGGGGAGUA